RNAcentral lists this ribosomal RNA (253 nucleotides) under uncultured bacterium. Its description in RNAcentral is "partial 16S ribosomal RNA". It matches the Rfam family "Bacterial small subunit ribosomal RNA", at positions 524 to 776 of the family's 1533-position model. The record is from RNAcentral.
UACGAAGGGUGCAAGCGUUACUCGGAAUUACUGGGCGUAAAGCGUGCGUAGGUGGUUCGUUAAGUCCGAUGUGAAAGCCCUCGGCUCAACCUGGGAAUGGCAUUGGAUACUGGCGGGCUAGAGUGCGGUAGAGGAUGGCGGAAUUCCCGGUGUAGCAGUGAAAUGCGUAGAGAUCGGGAGGAACAUCCGUGGCGAAGGCGGCCAUCUGGACCAGCACUGACACUGAGGCACGAAAGCGUGGGGAGCAAACAGG